UAGAAUUCAGGUCUGGGUUAUUAACUAGACAUAUGGACAGAUCAUAAGUGAACAGAAUAACAACAGAAGUUUGGUGUACAACUACAGUACAUUAUAACAAGACAAGUUUUUGCAUCUAUCAAGCAUCAAGGUAAGCUUUCAUGAUCAUAGAAAUGAAGGUGUUUGUAUUAGCGCAAUGCUUUAAUCAGUAGGGUCUUUCCCAUCUAUGAUCAAGGUCGAUUGCGUCAGCUCUGUUGUGGCGUUCAUGUAUAUGACGAUGGAAUUAUGUUAAAUUAUGGUAUCGAGGCUUAUUUUUAAGCAUGCCUAGGAUUUUGUUCCUGUUUGUGUUGAUCUGAACAUGUGCUCUGUUCAUGUAGAAGAACUCAUAUGAAUCUGUCUUAGGGAAAUAAUUGAGUACAUGUGAUCAGUAUGUUAGCCAAAACUGAACAUUUGAUCUCUAUUGAACUGAAAGGAUUGUAUAUUUGAUCUCUGUUUAACUGAAAAGAUUGAACCCUUACUUUUGAUCUCUGUUUAAGUUUAAAAAUUCAGCUGUUCCACAAACCUUCUAUAGUUCAGAAACCGAAUCUUUAGAUGUACUCUGUUUUAGUGCAGAAAAUGAAUUUUAGUGCACAAACUGAAUUAGUACAGAAACUGAAAAGACUGAACCUUUACUUUUGAUCUCAGUUUAAGUUUAAAAAUUUAGAUGUUCCACAAACCUUCGAUAGUUCAGAUAUCGGACCUUUACAUAUACUCUGUUUUAGUGCAGAAAAUGAAUUUUAGUGCAGAAACUGAAUUAGAACAGGAACUGAAAAGACUGAACAUUUACUGUUGAUCUACGUGUAAGUUUAGAAGUUCAGCUAUUCCACAAAUAUUCUUUAGUUUAGAUAGCGAAUAUUUAGAUACACUCUGUUUUAGCGUAGAAAAUGAAUUUUAGCGCACAAACUGAAUUAGCGCAGAAACCAUUGCAAAAACUGUUUUUUGGUUUCUUUGCUUUCUUUAAGUGCAGGAAUUUAUUUAUUUUCUUUCCGGAGCCGCGGCCGCCGCCCUGUGACCAGAAGAAUUGGGGAUCUCGAGAGGGAAUUUUGCAGUUGUGGCCAUUUUAAAAAUAGACCUCUGUGAAAUCUAUGUACUCCUGAUACUAUUAUAUCAUGCUGCAUUUCCUGUGAUAUAUCAAAUAUCUAUCCUUUGUCCUAAACAAGAGGCCUUACAUUUAUACUGAGCAAUACUAAUUUGGUGAGUAUAUAAUAUUGCAAUGCUUAUAACCCUUUGGUCAGUGGCCCAUCUGAAUUGAGAUGCAUCAUAGUUGUCUUAAUAUUAUUUAUUCUGUUUCUUACUAUCUGAUCCAUCCCACACAACAAGUAUUCUUCCUGAGAACUAUGCUCAGAUAGUUGAAUAUAUUAUUUUGUACUUAAUUGUUGAAAGAUGGAUUUGUAUUACUAAUGCUGAGAUGGGCAUUACAAUUUUCUUUCAAGGGAACAGACCAAACCAAACUGCGACUUUAUUUGUAAAUAUUUGAAAUUUAUAUUAUGUCUCUUAUGUGAUCUCAGAGGACUUAAUUUUUAUGUGGGGACAUCAAGCUACCUUUAGUGACUUACAAGCUAUCAACCAACAAGAGUUUUCCCUUCUUUUGGAGCCUGCUAAGCUAUCAACAAACAAAGAGGUUGUCCGUUCUCUUGCUAAUGAAAUAUGUAUUUACUAGAAUUUUUGUUAUUAUCAGAAGAGGGUUAUAUUUUUAUGGGAGGCUGCAUUUGUUAUGGUUCGGUAUUUCUAAAGGGGUACAUUUCUUUGUAGGUACUAUGCUGAGACUGAAGAGGAUGCUAGCCAGCGGCCCACCUCUCUUGUCGUCACCGCUGAGCCGCCAUGUCUCCUUCAGAGGCUUACUGUAUUGCUACAUGUUUAUGCUUCUUAUCCACUCACCCAUUGUAGUGUAGGUUUGUGUUCUUGGAUCUCUUUCCCUCCAUUUCUUAUUUUUGGUGAGCGGGUGAGCUAAUUGGGCUAUUUUCCUCUAGGUCUAUUGCGGCAAUUGAAUGCUUCAAAGGAUUUUAAUGGAGUUCAUUGUAGCUGAGUCGUGAAUCUCCAGCUUGCUUCCAUGUCUUUUCUCACUAGAGACACCUCCUGCCGGCGAUGGCGAUGACCGCUACCCUGCUCCUCUCCCGGCAAAGGCAUGUCUACCUCUCCUGUGAAGUUAAGGCCAUCUUUGCCUCUUCCUUCAGUUUUUCCUCUGUUUUUUGUUACACGACUUUGUGGUGCUUAGUGUAUAUAUCAUUCCCUCUUGUCCAUUGAUUGAACAACUCUGCUACAUGUGAUUGCAUUAGCAAACUCCAUUUUUGUGUAUGUAGAAAAACAAAGGAAACUCCAUUUUUGUGUAUGUGGAAAAAACAAAGGAAACUGCAUUUUUGUGUAAUUACAAACAAAUGAAACUCCAUUUUUUUGUAAUUACAAACAAGAGACUUUUAGAUGGCGAAGACUGCUGCCCUGAUCCUAAGAGCCUACUGACAUUUUACCAAAUCUUGUUAUAAUUUUUUUUAUCAGCAGCAGAUACUUUUAAAUUUGUCUUUACAAUUCCAAGUACAUGACCAUACAGAUCCUUCUAUUUUUGAUGUAGCAGAACAAAUGUUCGUAAUUUAUACACCCAGGCUCAGCUUCUCUAUAUUGAUAAGAAGGUCUGGAGCGUGUUUCUUUUGUUUUCAACUCGAGGGGACCAGGUAGGACCAUAUAAACACAAUAAAAUGCCAGUUUCUUUGUUCCACGCCCUGGCACCCAUCCGUGACCUCGCGCCGCCGCCUUCGCUCCUCCCGCACUCGCGCCGCCCCCUCUUCCCUUCCUCCCGCCUCGCCUUCCUCUCUCUCCCUCCAAACCCUAGAACCGCCCACGCUUCCCUGCCCCUCUGCCGUCCAGGUCCAGCCCCACGCCGUCGUCGUCUCCUUCGCCCAGCCGGCCACUGAGGUAUGAUGCGACCCUUGCCCCCGCCGUCUCCUUGGCCCAGGCUAACCCAAGCGCCACGGUCGCCACGCCGCUGCCGACUCCUCGGCAGGAGGAGGAGGAAGAGAGUUUGAACAGGGCUGCGAUGGUUCCUGCACGGCGUGAUGCCGGUUAAGGUGAUCUUGUGGUACAUCUGUUCUUCCUAUCUCCUAGGUUCAUCGUGCCUCCAUUGAUUUUGAUUUUGCCUUCAAUUCUAAUGCAGGGUAGUUGCCCAUGGUGUUCCUGCGACUGCUAUGUAGGCGGAUUUGGAGGUUGAACCUCUUUCCUCUCUAUUCGUUUGGUACAACAGCUUGUUCUAUGUGACCACGACAGGGAUGGAGCUCUCAGUGAUGUGGAGCUCAAUGACUUUCAGGUUUGUAUUCACUGAGGCCACCAUUCUUCCUUUAUCUUAACAUGAGGCUGACUAGAGUUUUUUUUAUUGACAUUCUUCUAUGUAUGUUGAUACUAAAAUUCUCAUUCCAUUGGUUUGCAGGUCAGAUGUUUUAGCGCUCCUCUCCAGCCUACUACUGAAAUAUCAGGCAUGAAGAGGGUUGUUCAAGAGAAGUUGCCCGGAGGCGUAAAUGAUAGUCGCCUUACAUUGACUGGGUUCCUUUUCCUUCAUGCUCGGUUAUGAUAAUGAAAUCAUGCUUAGAGAUGAAUUCAUUCCAACGUCGGUCAAGCGAGCUCCUGAUCAAGUAAUGUUCUGUUGAUUACUGUCAGCUAUUCACAUUUUGUUGUCAGUUGAAGCUAGACCAAUUUUUAAGUGCACAUAUAUUUUUGUGUCAAGUUGUUCUUAUAAGGUAUUACGUGUAAGUUGAUAGUUGAUUUCAACCGUAUGGUGGGUAUAUGCAAUCCUGGCUUCAAUAUUCAUUUAUCUAUGUUUUUUUGCUUUUGUAUACAUAGAUAGUUAUUUCCUUCAGGGAAAAUUUUAAACUUCCCGUCACCAUGGAUCUAUGGCCAUCUACUUUAGCUGUUAUGCGAUGAUCUGAUUUACUUGGCAUAUUAGGAGUUGAUGAUUUAGAUCUGGAAGGAAAUGUAACUUUGACAUUGUAUAUUGCAAACUUUAUUAUCGUAAUAAAUAUUUAUAAUCUGGUCUGAUCGAUUGAGACAUGCUUCUAAGACAAGUACAAUAGUAGUUAAAUUAGCAACAUGAAUUUAUCUUUGGCUUGAAAAUCUGGAUCUUUUCUAAAGAUCAAUCGACGGUAUUGCAAUUUAUCUCUGCCUCUUUCCAACGGAUGCAUGUCCAUCCCCUGUUUAUCAAUUGUGUGUUACCUUACUUAAUCAAGAAACAUCUUAAUUUCUCAGCCGCUGUUCUCCCCGUCGAGCUUGGCCUUUGCCUUCGCUGGGAGCAGACUGGGCUCAAACUUGAAUUGCUCUGUUUUUUUACAUGUAGGUGCCUUCUUUUAAUCUAUGCAUGACCCAUGUUUCUAUGAUGUGCAGUUUGGCCCAUGAGCUUGAGGAUACGUGCUUUCUUGACCUUGGGACACACCGUCCUCCUCCACCAGCCGCCUAACAAGUCCGUCCUUCUUUAGCAGCAGAAACUGAAGCAGCUAGGGUUCACCACAUAUUGCCCAUUAUAUUUAUUUUUUCUACCCCUCUUCCACCAACAAUUACCUUGCAAUAAUGUAGUUCCAAUCUUUGUUUUGUACAGUGUUUCUUAAUCCUGGUUCGCUUCAAUUGAUUGAUUUAGGCAGAUCAUGGAGGUUGCUUCUCACAUUUCUGUUUGGGGAAUUCUUCAAUUGAGAAAUUGAAAUGACUGCUGGUUAGGUAAUUAGUUCACUGUCUAUUUGUUUAUUUGUUUUCUGUUCAAGCAAAUAUAGUACAUCAAAUUGUCUAUUUGUUUUCUGUUCUCCUUGGAUAUGUUAACUGAACUUCAAAAUAAAUCAGUUGUUUGUUUGUCUAAGAUUAUUUUAGACCCGUGAACUUGGGUCUGUUUAGAGUUACAUAUGUUGUAGAAGGUUGCCGUUCUGCUAUAAUACCAACAAGUCACAAAUAGUUGUUAGAUAUUUAGAUGGAUCUGUUGAGUUAACCAUUGUAUUUAUCAUUUUAUUAACUGUUAAUAGUAUACAUAGUGCUUACUCUGCUUUUCUAGGCACCUCAAGUCACUUUGAUACUAUCAUCAUUCAAAAUAUGUGCAAACAAGCCCAUUGGUGCUCAACAUGGAUACAUGCUUUCUUGACCUCACGUGAUACGCUAACCUAAUCCGCCGGCCGCCUAUAGGUCUUUGUGUGUGUGUGUGCGCGCCUAUGCCAUUAAAGCAGGCGGAGGUGCAACAAUGGAGGAUCCAACCAUUGGUGGAGAUCGAUAUAAGGCUAAGUAACUAAUUUUUUGCUUUUGCUAUCCUGAAUUUCUAUGUGGCACAUUAUGUGUGUGUGUGUGUGUGGAAUUGCUGUGACAUGCUUUUUUCAAUUAUACUCACAUUCUUUGCUUUAGUGGAUUAUUCUAUGCUUGCCCUGUUAACCAUCUUCUUCAUUUAUAAAGAACCUUCAGUGUUUCAUGAUAUUUCAUAGGAUUCUCAUUUUAACAUUUUUAGUGAGAGUCUCUUAAACUAUCUGGUUAGAAGAUAGGUGGAAUAAAUACAUGGUGGUUAAAUCUGAAGCAUAUACGUAUUAUUUCGAGGAAGAGUCCAGUCCGUGUACCUGCAUUGUUGCUACUUGAAUUUUAUUUUCUCGGCUGUAUGGAAGUAUUAGUUCUUUUCAAGUCAAUAUGUUGAUUGACAGAAUAACUAGAAGAUCCACUUGUUGGGAUGGUGCAGCUUUAACAGAAUGCACGUGAUGGCAGGAUACAUGCAAAAAUAAUAAUUUGUGUUAUUAAUCGCCAGCAAAUAAUGGUGAGAUCCAUGCCAUAUAUAUAUCAUAAAACUGUAGGGGAACGUAGUAAUUUCAAAAAAAUUCCUACGCACACGCAAGAUCAUGGUGAUGCAUAGCAACGAGCGGGGAGAGUGUGUCCAUGUACCCUCGUAGACCGAAAGCGGAAGCGUUAGAACAACACAGUUGAUGUAGUCGUACGUCUUCACGGCUCGACCGAUCAAGCACCGAAACUAUGACACCUCCGAGUUCUAGCACACGUUCAGCUCGAUGACGUCCCUCGAACUCCAAUCCAGCCGAGUGUCGAGGGAGAGUUCCGUCAGCACGACGGCGUGGUGACGAUCUUGAUGUUCUACCGUCACAGCGCUGUCUAGAGGUGCCCCCCUGCCCCCGUAUAUAAAGGAGCAAGGGGGAGGGGGCGGCCAGCCAGGGAGGAGGCGCACCAAGGGGAGUCCUACUCCCACGGGAGUAGGACUCCGUCGCCCCCCUCCUUGUCCAAUUCGGACUAGAGGGAGAGGGGGCGCGUGGCCUGCCCUGACCGCCCCUCCUCUUCUCCAUUUUGGGCCCAAGUGGCCCAUUAACCCCUCGGGGGGUUCCGGUAACCCUCCGGUACUCCAGUAUAUAUCUGAUAACCUCCGAAACUUAUUCCGGUGUUCGAAUAUAGUCGUUCAAUAUACCAAUCUUCAUGUCUCGACCAUUUCGAGACUCCUCGUCAUGUCCGUAAUCACAUUCGGGACUCCGAACAAACUUCGGUACAUCAAAACUCAUAAACUCAUAAUAUAACUGUCAUCGAAACCUUAAGCUUGCGGACCCUAUGGGUUCGAGAACUAUGUAGACAUGACCGAGAACUGUUUCCGGUCAAUAACCAAUAGCGGAACCUGAAUGCUCAUAUUGGCUCCUAUAUAUUCUACGAAGAUCGUUAUCGGUCAAACCGCAUAACAACAUACGUUGUUCCCUUUGUCAUCGGUAUGUUACUUGCCCGAGAUUUGAUCGUCGGUAUCUCAAUACAUAGUUCAAUCUCGUUGCCGACAAGUCUCUUUACUCGUUACGUAAUGCAUCAUUCCAUAACUAACUCAUUAGCUACAUUGCUUGCAAGGUUUAUAGUGAUAUGCAUUACCGAGAGGGCCCAGAGAUACCUCUCCGACAAUCGGAGUGACAAAACCUAAUCUCGAAAUACGCCAACUCAACAUGUAUCUUUGGAGGCACCUGUAGAGCUCCUUUAUAAUCACCCAGUUACGUUGUGACGUUUGGUAGCACACAAAGUGUUCCUCCGGUAAACGGGAGUUACAUAAUCUCAUAGUUGUAGGAACAUGUAUAAGUCAUGAAGAAAGCAAUAGCAACAUACUAAACGAGCAAGCGCUAAGCUAACUGAAUGGGUAUGUCAAUCAUAUCAUUCUCCUAAUGAUGUGAUCCCGUUAAUCAAAUGACAACUCAUGUCUAUGGUCAGAAAACAUAACCAUCUUUGAUUAAUGAGAUAGUCAAGUAGAGGCAUACUAGUGACUUUAGGUUUGUCUAUGUAUUCACACAUGUAUCAUGUUUCCGGCUAAUACAAUUAUAGCAUGAAUAAUAAACAUUUAUCAUGAUAUGAGGAAAUAAAUAAUAACUUUAUUAUUGCCUCUAGGGCAUAUUUCCUUCAAAAACCUUAUCACAAUCUCUAUGUUAUUCUAUGUCACCUCUGGUACUACAUUGUGAUUCUUACAAGGAAUUACUUCCUCCUCUUUCUCCCUGGUUUUAUUUUGCAUGGAUAUUGUAACCUCACUAGGAUGGAUUAAGAAUCUCAUGUUCCCCCUUUCCCUGAUAAAAUAGGACUUCCAAAAAUAAUGAGACUUUCACUCCUUUUUCUUUGUUGAUCUCUCUAAUUUCUGAUUACAAAUAUAUGCAGGUUUCUACUCUGUUUCAAGAAUUUAAAGGACGUGCUUGCAAAUCAUGGACAACAUUGGCCUGGUACAGAGCUUGAGUCUUAAGCUCUUGCUUGGCUUUAGGUGCAAACACGGGCGUUCAGUUCACCUAGAUCAAGGAGCGGAUGCUUGUGGCUAUUGAGUGUGACUGUGAUGUACGCACUCACUCUGGAAUCUGAGAAUAAUUUGAUGAUCCUCUCUGGAAGAUAGUUAAAUAGUGAAUUUGACCACUUAUGUAUAGGAAUCUGUUGUUGUGUUAUGUAUGGAGAUGAAGAUUCUUAGGCUUAAGGUUUUAGUUUUUACUUUUAAGUGUUAUCGAUUGUUUUGCUGCAACUAAUUGUUGCUUAGCGUGAUAACCGAAGGAGUGCCUCUUGAAAAUCAAGAUCCUUAUUAUGUGUUCUUUCUAUGAGAUUCAUGCGAUAUGAACUUAUGUUCUUGGUGAAAUGUGUACCAAGUUUUUUUUGGGGGGGAUUUGGUGUGUUGGACCUAGGGUUGAAGUAGGCAACGCGCGCGCUAACUAUCUCAUUUUUGCGCUCUUAGUACUGAACUUAUUGUCAAAUGGCUACCUUCUGUGGCCUCAUUAAAGCACUGAACUUGAACUCUAUGUUGCCUUAUAUAAUCUUAUGACGAUGUCAAACUUAGAUGAUGUCUUGCUUCUAUUACAAGUGAAUUUGUUUAUUUCUUUUAUUUUGUUGAAUACAUAUGUUAAACGAGGAUUCCUACUAACAUGAACAUUACUUGUUUGAUCAUGUUGUUCGAACCGCACCCUCGCGCCAAGAUUCCUUUUUCUACCGUUGUGUUCCCUAUUUGUUUUGCUUCCAUCGUUCUACUGUUGUGUUCCCUAUUUGUUUUGCUUCCAUCGACCAGUUCCAGGUCGGGAGGCAUGCCAUGAAAGUGCCAAAGAAAGUUGUUUGUAUAAUAUUAGAAACAAAAGUAAAAAGGUAUGUAUAGCUUCAAAGAACAAUACGACAACUAAUUAUCGCUGCCUUGCAUCUCUCUUUUUGUUGUGUUUAUUGCUUUUGCCAAGUUAUUUUGUCCUUUACUAUAGUUAGUUAUUUACCAAUGCUUAACAAUUGGCGCAGACCCGUGCUCCCAGCGUCGGACCCCUCGUGUCAUGGGGCCAGCCCUCCCGCCGGUGCCGCGCCGCGAUGCCGCUAGCUUGGAGGCCAGUGUCCAUGCAGCCGCCACGAUGUCGGCGGCAGCGGAUGCAGUGCGGGGCCUCUGGGUACCGCGUGCUGGGGGACCGACAUGUCUUCCGGUUGUGGGUUCCGGCGAUACCAAGCCAUAGGUCUGAGCCGCCGUCUCCACUUGGUUUCCUCCAUGUUUCGAUCUGGUACCUCCACUCCUCACCACCUUGCUUGCCGUGCAAGCGUGUGGGUGUGUGUAUAAGUGCAACACUCGGUUUGGUCAGUCGCUAGUUCCUCCGAACAAUUGGACUAUUGGGUGCUGUUAGACCUUAGGGGGUAGGACAGAUCCAACAAUGGAAGGAAUCGAUCAGUGGAAGUGUGGCAUUCCUCAGAGCUCAGGCCUUCCUGGCCGCUGGAUCAGUUUGUUGAUGCGUUCUCAGCUGUGUAAUCUUGCCUUCGGAUGACUUUGGUCGUCGGAUCGAAUCCGAUUACUGCUACAAUGAGUAGUCAUGGAGACAUAGAACCUGUCAUCAUUUUGUCGGACUAAUUAUGGAGUUACUUGUGCAAGUUACACCAUCAGCAAACACAUGAAGACCUGAAUGCUAUCAUUGCAAGUUGAACAUUUACAUGCUCCAAGUCAAUCUGUUAGGGAGAAAACAAAGGCUUGUGUGCCUAUUAGUAAUUUUUUGUUUUAUCAUAGUGGGCACCUUAUCUAUCUGUAACAUGUGCCCUGUGCAACUGCAAAAGUGUUGGACAAUAAAAAUUCUGUGUAACACAUGUUCUUAUACACUCUGCCUAUGGUUAGUAUAGAAACUAUGCAUAGUUGUUACUCUUUUGCGUGGCCUUGUGUAAUAUACAUUGUAAAUAAAUUAUCAUGAACUAUUGAUCCUUUCACUUUUUCUGUAACAUACUGAACCUUUGCACUAUUACUUUCAUCGUAUAAUCGUAUGAGAUAUAAAAUGUUUCAUAUCAGGUUGGAUAUAGCUGAGGCGGGUGGGAUGCGGCAAGCCGCACUUCCUAUCUAGUUGAAACAAUAGGCGCAUUGAUCACACCGCAGUGCUAGCUGCACCACGCGGGAAUGAGACACGCGUUGAUUACACCUCGGCCACAAAGGCUUUGAUGCUCCUCUCAGUCUUUUUAACAACCUGCUUGCUUGCUUGUGCUGGCCAUUCUCUUUUGUUCUCCUUCUCCAUUCCUUUCAGUGUUGCCGGAGCUUCAAAGCAUGUGCUCGUCCAUGUCCCAGGGUAGUUCAAUACCACCUCCCCACCACAUGGCCAACUAGAUGCCUCCAUCUUCUCCACGCUGUGCUAAUCUUUCUUCUUGUUGUAGCAUGGAGGCUGCAGUUUCUAGAAGUGGGAGAACAUAUGAUUUUGCACACAUUGGUCCAUCGCCACAUCUCACUUAUCAAACAGAACCAGGCAUUGCUGAAGAACAUUUUCAUGCUGGGCCUCGUGAACCUGCUGGCCAUGGCCAUGAUCUUCUUCCACAAACUCAAGUUUAUUCCCUCUACAUAGGGAGUGCCGUAGUUUUUCAUAUGUAUUUUUUGUGUGCUCUAUGCACUGCAUGUACCCGCCAUGGCCAUGAUCUUCCUCCACGAACUCUGAAGUUUAUUCCCUCUACGUAGGGAUUGACGUAGUCUUUCAUAUGAUUUUUAUGUUCUAUACAAUGCAUGUAUCUGCUAGUGCACUAUGCUUGCUCACGCAGGCUGCGAGCUAGCCUAUCAAUAAAUUUUUAAGGACCCGUUGUGUGCAUGGAGAAGCGUUUUGGCAAGUUGUAAUCGACCGGUACGUAAUUAGUGGACCCCUAAUCACGAAACAAAUGUCAAUACACCAGACAACAGAGAUGUCAUAAAUCCCUACUGCCCAGGCAUGCGCCCUACCCACCCAACGGAAAUGUCAAUUCACAUCGAUCGACAUUCGUUUAAAUGCACACCAUCAAUGCAACCAGCCCUCCUUUUCCUGAAACAGAUGACAGGGCAACAUUUAUAAGAUCAAGCCAACUUUAUCAUCAAGUGCUACAUAUAUGUUCUCUGCCAUAUCAACGUUCUUCUCGUCUGAAUCCAUAAUAUCUAUUCUUUGACGAACCUCAACAGAAUCUAACAAAUCUGCAAAUCUACCACUUGGGUCAUCUUCAGUCACCUCUCGCAGUAUGCCGAGCCACCCUGAAUGGCUUCCAAAAACCACUGAAUCAGGGUGGAAUGGCAACUCAAACGUCUCACUAGCUCGAGGCAAACGAGAUAUCAUCACAGGUGGGCGUGUACGCUCGUAGGCAAAGAAAACAACGCAUCAGAUAAUGUUUUUGAUGGUCUAACCUGAUCUCCGUCAAUGAAGAAUCCAUCUCCACUCCUCCCUCUGUUCCUCCACAGGCAACAACUUGGGGGAGAUCUAAAGUGUGAGCAACUAGGUAGUGUGCGUGCUCAAUGAUGUCCACCCAACAGCGAGAGCAGUUAUGCCAUCGCUGGGGCCGUCACAUGGGUCGUGUUUUCAUACAGACAUAAAUGCUGCGUGGGCCACUGGCUUGACAUAUACGAUGAUGUAUUCGUGGAGCUGGUAAUUAGCGUGCCAAGUAUUUGCGAAUGGGCUAUAAUAAGUAGCAAUCACGACGCGUAGAAGGACGGCCAAGAUAACGGCAUCGCGUGGCACCAUGUGCCAAAAAUUCACGUCCAUCGAAUGUAGUCCUACUUGUCAACAACUCUUUUUAAAUUCUUUACUUGAGUUUCCUUCAAGAGUAGAUGUGGGUCAGCCACCGCCACACGCGCCGCCAAUCCACAUCUACUCCUGGCUGCUCCUCGCGGGUUGGCCUGGGGUGCCCUCGGGAUGCGGUGCCCUCCCCUGCCCCCCUUCGUGGAGGUUCCUUUGUGGUACCCUGAUGGUAGCUGCCUUCGCAAUGCAUCGGCAGGAUGACGCAACGGGUGUGCAAGCUUUCCAUGGCGGCCCUCUUUCUCUCGUGAGUGUGCUCCGGCUACGACCCCUCGUAGCCAUGGACCAGCGCCCCCUCCUGUGUUCAUGGACGAUCAGGUCCAUGCUGAGCCGGCUCUAUACCCGACAUGCUCCGGGAGCUGCGUACCUCUUCCAACUUCUUGGCCUAGUCGGCGUCACGGCGGUUUUGGCUCCGACAUCCUAGAUCUACGCUCCUCUCUAGAUCUUGGCUUGUCCAUGUUGUCGGCCACCGUUGCACCCCCUUCGCUGCCGCAUUCCCCUCCGCGCGGCCGCCCAACUCUGCACACUUCUGCGCCUCACUCCUCCUGCUGGAUCUAUAGCUCGCUCUUUCGGUGAUGUCCGAUGUUGGCUUUGGCGGCGGGCGUUCCUCCCCUCCCUGCAAUUGGCGGCUUCGGCUUGUGUCUUGACCUCCUCCUCUCUGAAGUCUACCCCGACAGCUUGAGAUUGAUUAGACAAAGGCGGGGUGGGAUCCCUUCUCAGCUUGUUGGUGCUGGCAGCAGUGACACCCACGGGAGUCGUUCCCUUCUUGGAGGCAUUGCCAUGGUCUUCAUCUUUGCCCCUAUUCGAGCAUCAGGGGAAACCCUUGGUCCGGGCUCUUGGACCAGAUGGUGCAAACGUCUUUAGUGUCGUUCCCCUUGAUGAAGGCGUCGUCUUGAUCGUUGCGGCAACGUCCCUGGCGGUGGACUUGGAUUUGUUGGUUGUCUUCAUUGGGUUCGAGUUGCUUCUCAGGGAUAGUUGAGUUUGUCGUGUUAUUUUCCUAUGUUUGGGCCGAGCACCCCAUGUCCCUCUGCUCCAGGCACCAUGUCACGCCUUCUUGCAUCCGUGCAAAUGUUGUUCCAUACCUUGUAUUCACUCGUUUUCUUCUAUCAAUGAAAUGAUACACAAGCUUUGUGUAUUCGUGAAAAGAGUAUAUGGGGAUCCCCACUAUCGAUAAAUGAUGGACCUUGAUAAUAGUUUGACAGAGUAGGCCAGGAAAAUGGAUUAUUAUUAUGUGGCCCUUGGAUUGGAUGGGAGCAAUUGGUCCAGGAGUGAAGGACACAUUAGAGAAAUAAUCACUUUCUCACCCAUGUUUUACUUUACAAGUUUUUUCUUUUGAAACUUAGGGCAUAUCCAACACCGACUCCCAAAAUGCACACAAUAUUCGUUCGGAGCUGGCCAUCCAACCUUAUCCUUCAAAAGUUCGCCCUUGUUCUUUUUAUAGUCCAUAGCACUCAAAAUAAUACGUAAUAGAUAAAUCCUGAACAUUCAGAAUUUAAGCAUGUCAUCCCGAACGUUCUUUGACGACAACUUUAGUUGCCGCGAGGUGGCAACUUUAGUUGUUAACACAUGUCAACUUUGUUCCAGUUUAAUUUUUUGUCAAAAAAUUGCCAUGUUUGUCAACAUCGCCUUAACUAAAGUUGCCAUGAAAAGAGUUCGGAUUAGCAUGCUUAAAAAUCUAACGUUCGGGACUUAUUGAGGUCCAAAUAAUAACAUAUCAAAUCUUCAGUGAGUGAAAAUAUUCAAAUGUGACACUAGUUCUAAUGCAAAUAUUACAAUCCAACUAAGUUUAAAAAUAUAAAAUAGUUUAAAAUUAAGUUAAACUCGCACAUAUGUUCUAGUUGUUCCCUUUAAGUGCCCACAAAUGCUCAAUUGGAUCUUCCUUAAGCUGCUCAUGAGUUUCUCGAUGCCAAAUUUAUUGAUGCAUUUGGACAAACUCAUCAAAUAUGGCUGGAUUCUGAUUUGAAAGUAGGAUAGGAUCAUCCCAUGUUCUGAAAUUUUAGACCGCCGACAACAUCUUCACCCCAUUCUCCACGAUCAUGUUGUGCAUGAUCACACAACAUGUAAUCACCUUCCACAAAGUCUCUAGAUCCCAUAUUUUGGCAGAUCCUCGAACAACUGCAAAACGGUCUUCGAGCACUCCAAAUGCCUCUUCACAGCCUCUCUAGCUCCUUGUCUUUGGGCGAAGUGAACUCUUUUCUAACCUACUGGCUCGGAGAUGGUCUCGACGAAGGUCGCCCAUGGAGGGUAGAUACGGUCAACUAGAUAGUAGCCAUGUUGUAGUCAUGCCCAUUGACACUAUAGUCAUAGAGGAGUUUGUCCUUCAAUCAAGAUAGCAAACAAUAGAGACCACUGCAGCAUAUUGAUGUCAUUGUGAGAUCUUCAUACCAAAGAAAAUGUGUCAAAUCCAGAGGUCCUGUGAUGCAACUGUUUCAAGAAUGAUGGUGGGCUUCUUAACAUGACCAUGUUAUCGCCCUUGUAGAGCAUAUGGGAAGGUCUUCGAUCUCCAGUGCAUGCAAUAAAGAUAUCUGAACAUACCUCCGCAUCCUCUUGCUUCCGAGAGUGUCAUGAGCCUUUUGGUGUUUGCGAUAGUUGGUUCUCUCAAGUGUGGAGGUCCAAACGCCGGGACCACUGUAGUAGAAAAUUUGACCAUGGCGUCUUCACAUGAGCUCUUAAGCAUUCAGAGGUACUCAUUGAUAACCCACAAGUAUAGGGGAUAGCAACAGUUUUUGAGGGUAGAGUAUUCAACCCAAAUUUAUAGAUUCGACACAAGGGGAGCCAAAGAAUAUUUGCAAGUAUUAGCAUAUGGGUUGUCAAUUCAACCACACCUGGAGAUUAAUUAUCUGCAGCAAUAUGAUGAGUAGCAAAGUAAUAUGAUAGUUUUGAUAGUAGUAGUAACAGUAACGGUAACGAUAACAAUGAUAGCAAUGAUUUUGUAGCAAGUGUAAUAGUAACAGUAGCAAUAGAAACUUAGAAAGAUCAAUAUGUAGGAAAAUCGUAGGCGUUGGAUCGGUGAAUUCGUUGGAUGAUAUUCAUCAUAUAUCAGUCAUAACCUAGGCGAUACAAAACUAGCUCCAUUUCAUAAAUAUAAUGUAGGCAUGCAUUCUGUAAAUUGUCAUACAUGCUUAUGGAAAGAACUUGCAUGACAUUUUUUGUCCUACCCUCCCGUGGCAGCGGGGUCCAUAUGGAAACUAAGGGAUAUUAAGGUGUCCUUUUAGUAAAGAACCAGAACAAAGCAUUAGCACAUAGUGAAUACAUGAACUCCUCAAACUAGGGUCAUCACCGGAAAGUAUCCCGAAUACUGUCAUUCCGGGGUUUACGGAUCAUAACACAUAAUAGGUGACUAUAACUUGCAAGAUCGGAUCUAGAACAUAGAUAUAAUGGUAAUAACAUAAACGGUUCAGAUCUGAAAUCAUGGCACCCGGGACCAAAGUGACAAGCAUUAAGCAUGUCAAAGUCAUAGCAACAUCAAUCUCAGAACAUAAUGAAUACUAGGGAUCAAGCCCUAACAAAACUAACUCAAUUACAUGAUGAAUCUCAUCCAACUCCUCAUCGACCAGCAAGCCUACGGAGGAAUUACUCACUCGCGAUGGGAAGCAUCAUGGAAUUGGCGAUGGAGAAGGGUUGGUGAUGACGAAGAUCAAAGAUCCCCCUCUUCGGAGCCCCAAACGGACUCCAGAUCUGGCCUCCCGAUGAAGAACAGAAGGUGGCGGCGGCUCCGUCUCAUGAAACAUGAUAAUUUUUCUCCAUGAUUUUUUCUCCAAAAGUAGGAUUUUAUAGAGUUGGAAUCAGGGUCUGCAGGGCCACCAGGUGAGCACAACCCACCUGGGCGCGCCAGGAGGGGGGCGCACCAUGGUGGGUUGUGCUCACCCAGGGCCCCCCUCCGGUGGUUCUUGGCUCCAAUAUUUUUCUUUUAUUCCAUAAAAAAUAUCCAAAAAGUUUCGUGUCAUUCCGAGAACUUUUUAUUUCUGCACAAAAACAACAUCAUGGUAGUUCUGCUGAAAACAGCGUCAGUCCGGGUUAGUUUCAUUCAAAUCAUGCAAAUAGAGUCCAAAACAAGAGGAGAAGUGUUAGAAAAAGUAGAUAUGAUGGAGACAUAUCAACUCCCCCAAGCUUAAAUCUUUGCUUGUCCUCAAGCAAUUCAGUUGAUAAACUGAAAGUGAAAAAGAAAAACUUUUACAAACUUUUUUGGUCUUGUUUACGUAAAUAAGCUUAAGUAGAACCCAGGCUUUCAGCAAAGAUCAUGACUAACCCUAUCAACAAUAACUCUUAAAAAUUAUAUUAACUCAUAUCAAUGGCAUAAUCAACUAGCGAGCAAUAAUAAGAUAUCUCAAAUGACAACACUUUGUCAAAACAACCAUGAUAUAAUAUGACAAUAGUGGUAUCUUGCUAGCCCUUUCUGAGACCGCAAAACAUAAAUGCAGAGCACCUCCAAUGUUUAAGCAGCGACUAAACAUUGUAAUUCAUUGUAGAAAAGAUCCAGUCAUGAUGCAUCCAACAUUAGCUAUACAUAAUGCAUGAGGAUGACAAUAGUACUCUCAGAUCUGGCGCUUCUUUGAGAAGGUGAUGACACAACAUAAAAGUAAAUAGAUAGUCCCUUCGUAGAGGGAAGCAGUGAUUUGCAGUGGUGCCAGAGCUCAAUUUUUUAAAACAAAGAUAAAUGAAAUUUUGAGAAAUGCACCCUUCUUGUUUACUUUGCGACCAUUAGUUAUCGGUAUCUUCCAUGCUAGACACAUUAGUGGCGGUUCCCAAACGACAAAAGUAAAGAUUUACUCCCCCUCCACCAACAAACACACUCCAAGGCUAGCUGAAUCCAUGGGUACCAUCCAUACCAACAACAAUCCUAGGGGGAUUUUGUUUAAUUAUUUGCAAUUUUUAAUUCGGGACUAGGAAUCCAUAUUAUCGCCCCUCUCGUGCAAGGACGAGUGAGUAAACACUCAUAAUGAGAAUAACCUGCUUAGCAUGGAAAAUACUGACUACCUCUUGUCACUCUAUGAACAAUCCAGUCACACAAAAACAAAUGUUUAUUUGAAGUUUUUAGAGGUGGCACAUGCAAAUUUACUUGGAACGGCAAGGUGAUAUCGCAUAUAGGUAGAUAUAUGGUGGACUCAUCUGGAAUAAUUUGGGUUUCAGGAUUUUGAUGCACAAGCAGUAUUCCUGCUUAGAAUAGGCGAAGGCUAGCAAAUAGGUUGAGAAGCGCCUAGCUAGAGAGCGAAAACGGCCAGGAACAUGCAUUAUGCAUAAGUAGCAUUGUGUACUAGCAUGAGUAGGAUACGAACACCAUGAACAUAAAUAUCAUAGAGGCUAUGUUGGUUUUGAUUCAACUACAUGCAUGAACAUGUGCCAAGUCAAGCCAGUCAAACAUUCGGAGGAGGAUACUAUAUCAUCAUACCACAUCACAAUCAUGUUAAUGCAUGUUGGCAUCCAAGAUAAAUCAUUAUCCAGUCCUAGCUACUUAAGCAUGGCAUGAGAAACUAUAAUCUCUAAUUGUCAUUGAAAAGAUGUUUGAUCAUAAUAGUCUAAAUCAUGGAUACUAGGUUAAACAUAUUUACAAAAACAGAACAAGUUGAGUUCAUACCCGUUUCUCUCUGCCACAACCAGUUCAUUAAAUAUCGUCAUUAUUGCCUUUCACUUGCGCGACCGAAUGAUAUGAAAAUAAUAAUGGUGCAAUAGUGUCAUGGACUAAGCUGGAAUCUGCAAACAUUUUUAUUCAUAAGGAGAAGACAAGGUAAUAUGGGCUCUUCGUUAGAUCAAUAACAAUGCAUAUGAGAGCCAUUCAACAUUUUCAUCAUGGACUUGUUCUCGGUAUGACUCAAUAAAAAGAAAAUAGUUUCAGAGAAACACACUGAAAUAUUUUUGGAGGUUUUUAGUUUUUCUUGAAUGAAGCAAAUUAAAGAAAGAAAAACAAAAACAAGAAAACCUCUUUACACGAGAGAGCUCCCAACAAGCAAAAGAAGACUCAAUUUUUUUUCUAGGUUUUCUUUUUAAUACUACAACUAACUACACUAGAAAGAAAAACCGAAAAGAAUCAAGCACCAUUUUUUGGGUUUCCUCAAAGUUUUUGAUGAGGAUCAACAUGAUGAUUCUACCAUUUUUGCCUGAUCUUUCACCACACGACAAAUAGAUAGCUAACCUUCUAAUCACGCUAGCAAUCCACACAACUUGAAGGUGAGGAAACGAAUCCAGCAAGCAACGUGGAGAUGAACAACACGCCUCUAACCUUGGCACGAUAAUCCUUGAUCACACAAGAACCUUCACGCAACCAUCACUUUAUUUGAUAACCAGCAGCGCCGUCCCCGGAGGGAUGAUUCACCACAGGAACACAAUGUUCAAAACUCAAUCUAAAAUUCCCCCUCUAAACCUAGCCACCGGCCUCCUUAUAUAGGCAUAUAGAAAACUAGUCGGUUGAACAGGCCCACACCAAAACACACAAAAUAAAAAUCCUAACUAGCCCAUAACAUGACCUAGAAAUAAAAAUAGAUAAAAACGAAACCGACCAAGUACAUGGUUCGGUCACCUCCUUUGGCACACCUCUAACUUGGAGGAGUCCUGAAGUUGGGCUUCACCUCCUCCUUCAUGGGAACAACAUGAGGUACUAGGAUGCCCUCAUCGUCCUCCCCCUCCCCUUGAAAAGGCGUUGUCCUCAAUGCUGGAGGGUCUUCUCUAAAGAGUGGCACCAAAUCAGCAACAUUGGAACGCUUCGCCGUCAUCUGCAAGUCUCGUUGACCUGCCACAUCACCUCCUCCCUCUCGGCUAACUGGGCUUGUCACAGGGGGCGGCACCACCUUCCGUCGCCACAUAAGCUUGGACUUAGGCGCCACCACCUUCUUCUUCUCCAUUAUCGAUGGAGCUCGUUGUCGCUAAAUGUGGACCUUCUUUGUACAACUCUGCAAAAUAGGAGCAAUGCCUGGGCCACAUAGUUGACGAACACAUCCAUCUUUGUCUGUGUGCAUACACAUAGUUGCUCCAACAAAUCUCCGCAUAAAUGGUCCAACAAACUUGCGGUCUACUACCCGCUCCUCCAUAUGCACCGAGACACAAGUAGCACAACUAUCAUCUGUCUGAACACCUUGGUCGACACAAAUUGGAAGUGUAGGACUAGUUGCAAUCUUCGUCAUCUCAUCACUAAGAGGCUUGACAUCAACCGGCUUGUCACGAACAUGCACAACUGGCUUGUCAUCGACAGGCACGGCGGAAACAAUAUCAAUAUUGAAACUCCACGCAUCAUGCUCCUCCGUCGGAGGCUGAACUAUC
Molecule: long non-coding RNA, 18722 nt
Filed under: Triticum aestivum (bread wheat)
Lineage: Eukaryota; Viridiplantae; Streptophyta; Magnoliopsida; Poales; Poaceae
Description: long non-coding RNA (TAES_LNC026843)
Source: RNAcentral